This is a non-coding RNA of Ceratotherium simum simum (southern white rhinoceros), 189 nucleotides long. NCBI's taxonomy places the organism in Eukaryota, Metazoa, Chordata, Mammalia, Perissodactyla, Rhinocerotidae. The record is from RefSeq and is a predicted model, not a curated record.
GUUCAACACUGAUAGAUAUAAUAAAAUCAACAUUUUUACAGAAAAGUAUUUCUUUAGAUUUAAAAAGAACACACAUUUCAAGCACUUGAAAGAGGUCCACACAUGUAAGUUAUCAUCUUCCAGUAUCAAAAUGAUGUGUUGAAAACUCUGAGGAAAUGAGUUAAUGAAGUCACACAGGAAAAGUAAAAA